CACCGGUUCCGUACGAUCACCGAAGUUAAGCAGCAUCGGGCGUGGUGCAAACUUGGAUGGGGGACCGUUUGAGAACGCCACGUGCUGUUGGCU
This 93-nucleotide ribosomal RNA is filed under the name Pediculus humanus corporis (human body louse). The record is from RNAcentral. Lineage: Eukaryota; Metazoa; Arthropoda; Insecta; Psocodea; Pediculidae.